GAAGCCCUCAGAGUGGGUCAGGCAUGGAGAGAGCCAGCGGUACUGCUGCGUGUGUCUAAUGUUUUUGUUCCGUACUGACAGUCGGGAAAGCCAGUCUCACCGAACUCUGGAGCUGAAGGGAGAGCUAUAUAACUGACGCAAACAUGGUUUUAAUAACACCUGUGCUGUUGCUGCUGCUGUCUUGGGUAUCACUGCAAGCUGUCGCAGAGAUCUGCCGGGGGACGCACUGCUACGGCGCGGAAACCGGCGAUCCAAGACCGUGCACCGGAGCGCACUGUCCGGGGGGCAGAACCUCCAGACCGCCGCGGCACUAUCACACGACAGCGCAGGGGAGAUCGGCGCAGAUAGUCGCCAGCCAACACCACGCGUAUCCGAGCUCCCCGAGAGCAGCGUCGGAGGUUUAUCCGGCUGUGCAGCCACUUCGCGGGCGGCACAGCGGCAGCAGCAGCAGCAGCAGCAGUGGCGCACGGAUAAGAGCGCCUGAAGUUUUACCUGCAGGAUGCACGGGUGCAGACUGCGCCGCUCUUGUGAAACAAUUUCAGCCCACUAAUGACACCCAAGAAUGUAGAGGGAUCGAGUGCAGACUGCCGCUGAGGAUACGGCCAAAAGCUCGAGCAAAGUCUUGUGUGGGAGAAGGGUGUAGUUCAGAGGAGAGCGCCAGCCAGCUUCCUCCUGUCCAUCUGUCCGACAGAGCAGCUCAGUUUCUGGGAGAUUUUCCGGACCUUGGAUAUCCAUCGUCGGAACUUGGCGGCGCACCUUUGGGUGUCCAGCUCACAUGUGACAUCAAGCCAGGGGAGAAUGAAGUUCCCUCAGAAGAUGCCCUCAUCUUGCACCUCCAGCUGGCCAAAGGGCAGGAGAAGCUGGUGGAGGCCCUGCGUGCCCAGCAGAUAAUCAUCCGUGACCUGCAGCAGAAGCUCGCCGACCAACAGGAGGCGCUACUGUCCCAGCAGAUAGAGAUCCUGGACCAGCAGCGGCGCAUGUAUGAUCAGAUGGAUGUGGUGAAGGCCCAGUACGGCCUCCUCUCAGACACCAUCAAACAGGUUUCCUUCCAGGGCCUGCAGGGUGAGCUGCAGAGCUACUUCGAGAGCCACCUGGCGGGUCUGCAGAGCCAGGCCCGCAGCCACCUGCAGAAGUCCUACGCCGUGCACAAAAUGAACCUAGACUCAAAGGUGAUGGAUGUAGUCGGAGAGGCUAAUUUCCCUCAACCUCUGCUAGGAUGCCCUUCACCCUGUGGGCAGGAGGAGUUCUGUGAUUUUCAGAAUGACCCACCUCAAUGUGACAAGUGCACCAUGUGUCCACCGGGCUUCUUUCUGAUCUCACAGUGUUCUGCUACUGCAGACAGGAUGUGCCAGGACAGAGAUGAAUGUCUUGAAGUACCAAACAUUUGUGGAGAGCGAGUGAAGUGCCUUAAUACUCCAGGGGGGUUCAGGUGUUUGGGGGUUUCUAUGAGAGAAGCAGUGAUGGGCUUGUGUGGUCAGGACUACUUCUACAACCAGGAGCUGCAGGAGUGCCAGGCCUGUUCUGACUGUGAUGUUGAGCCUGUUUCUGUUGCCUGCACAGCUAUCAGUGACUCUGUCUGCGGCCAGCCUUCAGAGAGCCAACUCUCCGGGUCUUGGGGGGCCAAUGUGGGAGUUCCCCCUGCCAGAACCUCUGGCACCCAGAUCUUCCCUGGGCUUCAAUUAAACAUCCGAGGAAAAGAGAAAAUUGAUCUGUUGUCCAACGAGGCUGGGCAGGUGACGUUCCUGCAGCAUGGCCUGGUGUGGUUGGAUCAUAACUUUGCGAUAAAGCACAGCUGCAGGAACUUCCUUCAGGUUGGAAUAAGGCUCAAUGGGAGCCAGGAGGAGGAGGGUCGGGACCUCAGCGGUGUUCGCAUCGAACAACCGGAUGGGAAGUACUUCCAGGGUGUCAGCAUCAGCAGCGGAGUCGAGGUGGAGCCUAACCACACCCUCACUCUACUGCUGAAGAGUCCCAAUCAACACUGCAACCAGAGCAAGGAUCUUCACGUCUAUGACAUCACCACUCCUUCUUUCAGUUUGCUGUGGUUGUCGCACGACACCGGUGCCGUAGCUAUGACGGCUCAGAUGUCCGUGUUGACGCACUACCAGACCAGCUACCGCCCAACUUUCCGCAUGACCUCUGUGUCUGACCCGUAUAUGAUCAUUCUAACGCACGACAACCGCGGUGUGCGCUUCACAGAAAGUGGCGUGGUGAAGUUCGUCCUCCAGCAGGCGCUUUACUCUAUGGGCCACACCUGCAUUCGAGAGGGUUUCUCCCUGAUUGCCUACACUAACCGCAACGGGACUGGCCAGGAGGCGAUGCAAGCCUUCAAGACGGGCGUCAACUACAGGGACACCUCCAUCACCCUCUCUGGCGCUGUGAGCAUUGCCAGCGGGGACACGCUCAGCUUCGAGAUCACAUCUCCGUCCCAGUGCAACAUCCGCUACUUUGGGGACAGCACCGGGAUCAGUAUGCUGAGCCUCAUCUGGAUUCCCUCAGCAGUGUCGUCAGCGCUGACUGCUACCGUGUCCAGGACUGGUCUGCCCUUUGGAGCAGUCAGGAACAAGCAGCUGUCAUUCCAGCAGAUCAGCCCGGACACGACGCAGGUUCAUCUGUCCCGCUCAGGGGAGCCAAACAGCAGGAAGAACUUUGUAUUCCACGAGAAAGGAACGGCGAACAUAGCCCUCAACCUGAAGCUGAUACACUCCUGCAAUAUCGUUAAACUCACUUUGCAGCGGGCAGGGGGUCAGGGUGGGCAGGCAGCUCCUGUGGCUCAGCAGGUGUCUGGAUAUAUGCCUGAAGGGAGCGAGUGGGCCAGUAUCGGGCUAAGGGCCUCGUUUCCUGUGCAGAACGGUACAGCGGUGUACGUUACUCUGGACUGUAUUCGCGGACGAGUUAACCAGAUCACACACGAGGGCGGCACUAACGUUUCAAUUCUCUGGGUUGCAGUCUGAUCGAAGGAGGAAUGAAGCCUUGGUCAGUAAUACAUUUUGUGAAGAAGAAGAAAAAAGACAAUUUUGCACAAUAUUGAAUUGCAGAGCAGAUUCAACUAUUUACCAAAUGAAGAGAGGAUACUGGUAGACAUGACACAUAUUUGGUCAUAUAAUUGUUUUAAAUAUAUGUUUCAUCACCUGUUAAGACUUCUAUUGUCAAAUCUUUGUGGGUAUGAUUAACAUACUGUAAGUACUGCUUUUGCUUAAAGUACUUCGGCUGGUUGAGCAGUGACCAAUUCUUUGUGUGUGUGUGUGUGUGUGUGUGUGUGUGUGUGUGUGUGUGUGUGAGUGUGCGUGUGUACAGUAUGUAUGAGCGUGUUUGCAUACAUGUGCAGUGGUGCUUUUAUAUUUUUGUAUGUGUGUGUGUGUGUGUAUGUGAGAUAAACAUUGGCAUGCCUACUUUUGUAUGAGUCCUUUAAUAUGUAUAUCUUUAUGCUCCUGCACAUAUUUAACUUUUGUAUGUAACAAACUUUUUUGUAUCAUAUCGUUAGGCAUUUAAAACAAUAACAUUCUGGUAGAUAUGCUUGUACACAGGAAGAGUUAAAUGAGAAGAUAGAAGAUAGACACUAACCUUACUCCAUAAACUGAAUACAUCCCAACAAAAACUAUCCCUUCAAUGCUCUGAAGAGUUUGUAAUGAAAGAGUAUACACUAGUGCUAUGUAGUAAACUUUAAUAAGCAGGAGUUGGUUUUUGAUGAUAUUUAUUUGCCUUUUAUAAAACAGGAAUCUUGUAUUUACACUAUACAAUGCAUAUAUUUGUCAUAAAAAUAUAACAAUAUGUUGUGUGGUAAAGCACUGAGUAGGCAGUGUUGAUAUUCAAAUACAUGCAGUGAUAGCCUCUAUCAUAUGCUUAUUUGCACACAGUUUAACACAGUAUUAUGAAAUGUGCAAACAUCUUACUUUGUUAUUCGUUUGCAGAAAAUGCUGUUUCCCUGUGAAGAGUUGCCCAUGCAUAUCGUUCCUAAUUGCCUCUGUGUGUGUUCUGUCCUCCAAACAAUUAGGCAUAAUUAAGUGUUUCAGGGAGUUGGCAGGCACUGAAAUUCUUUAGCUUUAUUCUCACUUCAUUAUGUUUAGUGAUUUUUUCAUACUGUGGUUUGGGCUACCUGCACAUGUCAAUGCAUGCAUACGUGUUCAACACCAAAUAAAAUGUACAUAUGUUUUGCCAGAAAAAUACAUUUCACUCCAGUUUGUUAAUUCACAACGAUCAGAGACGAAAGAUAUUUCACA
This is a long non-coding RNA of Cottoperca gobio, 4217 nucleotides long. Ensembl lists it as uncharacterized. NCBI's taxonomy places the organism in Eukaryota, Metazoa, Chordata, Actinopteri, Perciformes, Bovichtidae. The record is from Ensembl.